AAUGAACGCUGGCGGCAUGCCUAACACAUGCAAGUCGAACGAGAUCCUUCGGGGUCUAGUGGCGCACGGGUGCGUAACGCGUGGGAAUCUACCCUUGGGUUCGGAAUAACAGUGAGAAAUUACUGCUAAUACCGGAUGAUGACGAAAGUCCAAAGAUUUAUCGCCCAGGGAUGAGCCCGCGUAAGAUUAGCUAGUUGGUGGG
RNAcentral lists this ribosomal RNA (202 nucleotides) under uncultured bacterium. RNAcentral describes it as "partial 16S ribosomal RNA". It matches the Rfam family "Bacterial small subunit ribosomal RNA", at positions 29 to 256 of the family's 1533-position model. The record is from RNAcentral.